RNAcentral lists this ribosomal RNA (425 nucleotides) under uncultured bacterium. Its description in RNAcentral is "partial 16S ribosomal RNA". It matches the Rfam family "Bacterial small subunit ribosomal RNA", at positions 354 to 796 of the family's 1533-position model. The record is from RNAcentral.
GUGGGGAAUCUUGCGCAAUGGGCGAAAGCCUGACGCAGCCAUGCCGCGUGAAUGAUGAAGGUCUUAGGAUUGUAAAAUUCUUUCACCGGGGACGAUAAUGACGGUACCCGGAGAAGAAGCCCCGGCUAACUUCGUGCCAGCAGCCGCGGUAACACGAAGGGGGCUAGCGUUGCUCGGAAUUACUGGGCGUAAAGGGCGCGUAGGCGGACAGUUUAGUCAGAGGUGAAAGCCCAGGGCUCAACCUUGGAAUUGCCUUUGAUACUGGCUGUCUUGAGUACGGGAGAGGUGAGUGGAACUCCGAGUGUAGAGGUGAAAUUCGUAGAUAUUCGGAAGAACACCAGUGGCGAAGGCGACUCACUGGCCCGUUACUGACGCUGAGGCGCGAAAGCGUGGGGAGCAAACAGGAUUAGAAACCCGGGUAGUCC